This is a long non-coding RNA of Panicum virgatum (switchgrass), 497 nucleotides long. RefSeq lists it as uncharacterized. The record is from RefSeq and is a predicted model, not a curated record. Lineage: Eukaryota; Viridiplantae; Streptophyta; Magnoliopsida; Poales; Poaceae. The transcript has 2 exons.
GUUUAUGCCCUCAAGGCAAGUCUAAAAUCAAGUGUCCUGUUUCAACAAAUAAACGAAGCUGGGACAAAUGGCAUUGCCCCCAUAUCCCCCAUAUCUGAAUCAGCAAAUUCUAGCAGGAAAGUCAUAUUUGAAAUUGAGGAACUUCAUGAUAAGGUUGCAGAUCUGAAGAUGAAGGUAGAAGAGGGACAUGUGCUUCUCCAAAAGCAAAAGAGGGACAUGUGCUGAAUACAAAGGUGACCCGGACAGUGGAAGCAAAGUCGUGCUGUUCAUCAACAACAUGCAAUUGAUAAAAUUUCUUUGUUUGGUGUGGAAUAAACCAAAAUUCCAAUUGUACCUGUCUAGCAUAUCAGUAUGGUAUUAAUUGAAAUGCAUUGUAAUAAAGGAAAUAAGAGAUUAUGUACAGAGUUAAUUUGUAUGGUGUUUUUAGACUGUUGGAAAAAAAUUGUAUGUUUAACUACAUGAUAUUUUUUUUAGCAAAGUUUGUUUCCAUGACUUCA